Molecule: long non-coding RNA, 955 nt
Organism: Pogoniulus pusillus (Red-fronted tinkerbird)
Lineage: Eukaryota; Metazoa; Chordata; Aves; Piciformes; Lybiidae
Exons: 2
Source: RefSeq, a predicted model, not a curated record
UUAAACAGGAGAGUAGUAGCCAGGGGAAUCUUAAAGUUAAUCCAGCAUAUUGCUGUAAAAAGGUUUGCCAUCUGGAUCCUGCUUUGCUACAGUUUUGAAGCUUUGUGGCAUUUUCCUCCCUUCCUCUUCAUUUUCAGCUCUUGCUUGCGAGAGAGCUGAAAAACCUGCGCAACACUUCAGUGUUGCAGUGGGCUCUAAGAUGCUCUCAGAAACGCCUGUUCUGGUGCGUGCAGAAGGUGCCUGUCUUCUACCAGCCCGCAGCUGUGUGUGUGCCAGGAGGCUCGGACAGACUCACAGCCAUGGAGCAGGAACAACAAAAGCAGGCUCUCGCGGCUUCUUCCCAGGCAGAAGGGUGGAUGCUCUGUGUCUCCUUUGCCUGCCACUCCAGAUUCAAAUCACUCCACUAAGCUUUCCUGAGCUGUUUCAAAUCCCCCCUCUUUACCUCUAGUAAAGACCAGCGACAGCUGAAAGAGCCUCUUUGCAUACAAUAGCUCAAAACACUAGAGGGCCGAUUGGCUUGGUAAGCACAGCGCUGAGCCCGAACUUCACCGCACGCCUCUGAGGCUCCGGAUGCCAGCUCUGACGAGCGCAGCCCCAGAGAAACGCAUCAGCGAUUGCAUUUCAUACGAGCGACAAAUCUGCUUGGAAGAGACGCACAGCUGCUACGUUUAUGGAAAUGCAAUAACAGUGAACUUCUUGGAUUUGGCAAAGACUUUUUUGUACCAGAUGACUGCAUGCCAGUAAAAGAACCUAAGUGAAAUGAUAAGCCUGGCUCGCUCCUGUCUCCUAAAGAAGUGUGCUGCAGUCCAGAGCAUUUUGGAAGUUAAUGAGAGGGUUUUUUUUUUUUUCCCUCCUUUGGUUUUUAUUUUUUUUCAGAUUUCAAAACAUGCAUGCAAAUUUCAGCUGGCAGUGCAUGCACAGACCGUAUUUAAUAAACACAUCCAUUUGAAAGCAA